Long non-coding RNA from Vidua chalybeata, 1664 nucleotides. RefSeq lists it as uncharacterized. NCBI's taxonomy places the organism in Eukaryota, Metazoa, Chordata, Aves, Passeriformes, Viduidae. The record is from RefSeq and is a predicted model, not a curated record. The transcript has 4 exons.
ACCGUCUGCAGGCAGGAGCCACCGCGGGCACUGCUGGUGGGACACCGUCCCAAAGGGCUGCAGGGACACGCCAGUCCUGGAGCAGGGACACCAGCACCAACCAGCAGGCCAGAGCACCCCUGCCAGGGUUUCAGACCAUUCCUGCCUCAGAGGCAGUGAACAGUGGCACCAGGCCAGCUAGGCACUCUGAUGGCUUGACGCAGCACCCUGCUGUGCAGAGCUUCCCCUUGCUUCCCAGAGGAAUUAGGCUCUUCAGCAGAGCUCAUGUCCCACAUGAAGAGCCUAAAUCCAGGAACCCAUAAGCCCUCACCCAGCUUUUCCAUGCUCCCGCAGAGCUCAGCUGUGCACCCUCUGCACCUCCCCACUCUGCAAGUCCUGUGCAGCUUUUAGACCUGACCUGCAGAGGAAUCCUGGGCCACCAUUGGACAAGGGCAUUGCCCACCCUCCUGCUCCCAUCCCCUUGCAUCCCGCAGUCAGUUCCCAAAUCUGGGGCUCUCCUUUAUGGCCAGCAGGACUUGGUGGGCUGCAAGUGUCAAAGGGCAGCAGUGCCAAACUAACAGUGUACCAAGAGCUGCUCCUCCUCCUCUUUCUCCUCCUCCUUGUGCAGUCUCACCAGGUCUCAUCAGGCAAAAGCAACUUCCUGGUGUUGCACACAGCUCCUCACCAGCUGUUAGGAAGGAGCUUCUGGUUUCAAGGGAGGGGGCCUCAGAGAGGCUUGUCCAGAAUGCUUCAGGUGGUCUUCAGCAAGGAGGUGAGCACACAGGAAAGCAUCCACUGAUGGAAGAUGAUGCAUCUGGAGGGGAGAGACGCCAUGGUGAGGCACCUUCGGGCAAAGUUCCAACAGAACAGGAAAGAACCUCCCACCGUGGGUGGCUGGCCACAGAGUCACCCUGCAGCCUCUCAUGGACCAGAGCCAGGACAGACCUCUGUCAUGGCCUCCAAGGGUGAUCCUCUUCAGGAGGCUCCCUGGAGCAGGAGGGACUGCAACAGGCCCUCUCCACCUCACAGUACAGGUCAGAGUAUGGGACAGCAUUCACCUCAUUCUGCCUGCGAGACCCCGGCAUGAAUGGUGUGUCAGAAGAAGGGGACAGCUCCAGGUGCCAACUUCCACCCAGUGCCUGCAAAGCUGGGAGGAGAUGUGUUGAACAAGAAGGUGGAAGCUAGCUCUGAUCCUCCCCACAGGAAGCCAGCCCAACAGACAUGGCCACCUGCCAAAGAGCAGGUGAGCUCCAGUGAUUCUUGCCAAAGGAGCAGCUGCUGCAGCCCCCCUGCUUGCUGUGGGAAGCCCCCAAAGGACACAGCACCCAGCUCUGCCCCGGAGGAAGCCUUUGCCACAUGUCAGGGCACUGGGAGUGAAGCCAGGCAAGCCCCGGCGCCCUCCUGAUGUGGAUUUGGCAAAGUUCAGAGCAGCUGCACAUCCUGGGAAAUCCAUCUGUCCUGCCACAGAACCACCAAGGAGUGCUCAGCUGGGUCACCUGCAACCAGGCUGUGCUGCUUCAGUGCCUGCACGGUUUCCACUGCAGGAUGCUCCGAGUGGCAUGGGGGAUGAAGAUGAGAUAUACGAUGAUGUUGAGCCUGUUGAGCUGGCCAGGAGAAGCCCAGGCCUUCUGCUGCCUUCUGUGUCCCAGCUGCCAGUGUAUCCCUGCCCCAGAGGAAGUGAGUAC